RNAcentral lists this ribosomal RNA (852 nucleotides) under uncultured bacterium. RNAcentral describes it as "bacterial SSU rRNA". The stretch from base 73 to 602 matches the Rfam family "Bacterial small subunit ribosomal RNA", at positions 38 to 536 of the family's 1533-position model. The record is from RNAcentral.
GGAUUCANCCGACUCGCGCGUGUAUGUCCCNUACGGCUUACAGUUGGUUNUUUAGAGUCUCACACUGCCCCGGGUCGGUAUACAGCCUCACAUGCAGUCGAGCGGCGCCGUGUUACUUAUGAGGUGGCGAGCGGCGGAGCGGGUGAGUAAUGCCUAGGGAUCUGCCCAGUCGAGGGGGAUAACAGUUGGAACGACUGCUAAUACCGCAUACGCCCUAACGAGGGGAAAGAGGGGGACCUUCAGGGCCUCAUCGCAGAUUGGAUGAACCUAAAGUGGGAUUAAGCUAGUUGGUGAAGGUAAUAGGCUCACCAAGGCGACAGAUCCCUAGCUGUUCUGAGAANGAUGAUCAGCCACACUAGGGACUGAGACACAGGCACCAGACUCCUACGAGAGAGGCAGCAGUGGGGAAUAUUGCACAAUAGGGGGAAACCCUGAUAGCAGCCAUGCCGACGUGUGUGAAAGAAGGCCUUCGGGUUGUAAAGCACUUAUCAGUAGGGAGGACAACGGGUGAGUCUUAAUACAGGCUCAUCAUGUGACGUANACCUACAGAAGAAGGACCAGGCUAACUCCGUGCCAGCAGCCGCGGUAAUACGGAGGGUCCAGAGAGCGUAACUCGGCAAUUAACAUNGGGCGUACACGCGUGCNCCAGAGCGGGUUAGUACACAGACGAAGCAUGUGAAAAGCCCUAGGGACUCAAACCUUAGACUACGCACUCACCGAAACUGGCGAAACNAAGAAUCCAAGUCAGCAGGGGGGGAACACUCCCAGGUGGUACACGGAGAAAAUGCAGUAACGAUCUCGGAGGNANAACGGGGGAAAAGGAGGCCCCUGAGACAAGAACUGAAAGCCAAG